GCGAGAUACCUGAGGGGACUACGACAGCAAAUUCAGGAUGCUUUGAGGUUCCACACUCUAUGGACCGUCAAAAGGUGUACCACCAUGCUGUUGUUGCUGAGUAGUUGCGGUGCAGACCUAUAUCCAAAUCUGAUCCACCCCAACGAAGCAGUCAAGCGACGGAAAACCAGGGGGGUGUACGACCCAAUACUACUAACCCUCAUGUUCAUAUUGCAAAUACAAGAUCUUCAAAUCCAACCCCGAUUGAAUCAUCAAAUCUGCGGUGUUACAAUUGCGAUGAGAUUGGACACACGCGGAACAAUUGUAAAAAGCCCGUUGGACGAUCAGAAAAGCAGCUAUUAAUUGAAGAAGAACCAUCUGAGGACGAUCAAGAAACUAUCUAUGAUGAAGGAAACGAGGAUGAUUCCAUGCUAUAUGGAGAUAGAGACAAGGCUCUAGUAGUUCGAAAGAGCCUGCUUGCUCCAAAGAAGAAAAAAAAUUGGAGGUGGACAAAUAUUUUCCAUACCUAUUGUACCAUUGCAAAAAAGAUCUACAAAAUGAUCAUCGAUGGCGGUAGCUGCGAGAACGUCAUCUCCCAAGAAGCCAUCACAAAACUAAACCUAUCAACAAAAAAACAUCCUCGACCCUACAAGCUAUCAUGCUUCAGAAAAGGGAGCAAAGUCGUUGUCGAUAGUCACUACCUUGUAUCUUUUUUCAUCAGACAAAAAUACUUCGACAGCGUAUGAUGUGACGUCGUAGCCAUAGAUGCCUGUCAUCUACUCCUGGAGAGGCCGUGGCAAUAUGACCGUAAUACUACACAUGAUGGAUGCCGAAACACCUACACAUUCUAAAAGAAUAAUCAAAAGAUCACCUUAGUACCGAUGAAGGAAGAAGAUCUAUCCAAACCGAAAUCAGAGAUCAGCAUAAAUCUUCCGACAAAACAUGCCUAUCUAAAGGAGGCAAUGGAGGCCGACUACCUAUUAGCAGUCAUGGAAAAAGACGAGCUGACUGAGCGAGACACCCCACCUCUGGUACAUCCUAUCCUUCGAGAGUUCUCUGAUGUUUUUUCUAAAGAAUUGCCCACAGGACUACCCCCUGAACGAGAUAUUCAACAUCACAUUUUGUUUCAGGUUCGAGCUUACCGAAUAAACCAGCUUAUCGCAUGAGUCCUGCUGAACAGUUGCAGCAACAGGUACAAGAGUUGCUGGACAAAGGCUACAUCAGACCGAGCAUGAGUCCGUGCACAAUACCUGCCUUGCUGGAUCCAAAGGACGGAUCGUGGCGCAUGUGCAUAGACAGCAGAGCCAUCAAUUGAAUCACCAUCAAGUACCAAUUUCCAAUUCUGAGGCUAGACGACAUACUUGAUCAACUUGCUGGAGCCAAGAUAUUCAUCAAGAUUGACCUGAAAAGUGACUACCAUCAAUUGCGGAUUCGACUUGGAGACAAGUGGAAAACAACCUUCAAAAUGAGGGAGGACUUGUACGAAUGGUUGAUGAUGCCGUUCGGAUUUUCCAACACGUUGAGCACCUUCAUAAAGCUGAUAAACCACGUACUGCAGCCAUUUAUCAGUAAAUUUAUCAUGAUUUAUUUUGAUGAUAUCCUUAUCUACAGUCCUACUUUGGAAGCUCACCUGCAACACCUUAAAAAAGUUUUUAGUACCUUGCGAAGAGAUAUUAUUUGCUAACACCAAGAAGUGCAGCUUCAUGGUGAAUAGUCUAACAUUUUUGGGCUAUAUCGUCUCUUCUGAGGGACUAUGAGUAGAUCCAUCCAAGGUGCAAGCCAUCCAAAAUUAGCCAAAUCCAAGGAACAUCACUGAAGUAUGGAGUUUUCAUAGUUUGACAUCCUAUUGCAGAUUCAUCCGAAGAUUUAGCUCCAUCAUGUCUCCCAUGACAGACUGCAUGAAAGGGAGGCCUUUCCAAUGGACCCCUGAAGCACAGACUGCCUUCGAAACAAUCAAAGCAAAAAUUGCAUCUACAGAUAUUUUCUUUACCAGAUUUUUCCAAGAUCUUCGAGAUGGAAUGUGAAGCCUCUUCUACAGGCUUUGGUGUUCUUAACCAAAAGAGGCGACCUAUUUGCUUCCACAGUGAAAAGUUAUUAGGAUCCAAGCUGAAUUAUUCAACUUACGAUGUGAAAUUCUAGGCGGUGAUCAGCAUGCUACAACGGUGGCAUCAUUACCUGGUCCAGAGGGAAUUCAUCUUAUACAUCGAUCAUGAAGCCUUGAAGUACAUCAAUGGUCAAGAGAAGCUAAGUUGCAAGCACGUCAAGUGGAUGAAUUAUUUGCAGGAGUUUCACUUUGUUCUGAAGCAUAAAUUCGGUGCUCAAAAUCGAGUGGCGGAUGCGAUAAGCAGAACAGCCAAGCUGCUGGGAGUUCUUUGCAUGGAGGUGAUCAGGUUUGAUAUCCUGAAGGACCUCUACGCCAGUGAUCCAGACUUUGACCGAAUUUUACAGGAGGUACAUUCUCAUGAUCGAGUUGAUUUCCAAUUACAUGAUGGUUUUUGUUUCCAGAUGUGCCGCUCUGUAUUUCCGAUUGUUCUUUGCAGGAAAAGAUUAUAUAAGAGCUUCAUAAUGAAGGCCACCUUGGUAGAGACAAGACCCUCACGCUGAUCCAUAGCAAAUAUUAUGGGCCAAAAUUAAAGCGUGACGUGAUUAGAUUUGUGGAACGUUGUCGGAUUUGCCAAGUAUCAAAAGGGACGGCAACGAAUGCUGGAUUAUACACUCCUUUACCUGUUCCAAAUCAUCCAUGGGAGGAGAUCAGUAUGGACUUCGUAUUAGAACUACCUGUGACCCAGAGGCGGUGUGAUUCCAUGUUAGUUGUAGUAGAUCGAUUUUUGAAGAUGGCUCACUUCAUCACCUGUCGCAAGACCAUGGAUGCCUCAAAUGUUGCUCAGCCAUUUUUCAAGAAAAUUGUGCAUCUCCAUGGAGUGCCUAAAUCCAUUACAUCAAACCGAGAAAAAAUUUAUAAGCCACUUCUGGAGGAGCCAGUGGAAAAGAUUGGGCACAACCUUACAGUUUAGUUUAGCCUAUCAUCCUCAGACAGAUGGUUAGAUCGAGUCGUCAAUAGGAGUUUGAAAAAUUUAUUAAGAAGUCUUGCUGGUAAGCGCCCGAAGUAGUGGGACUUGAUCUUGGCGCAGACUGAGUUUGCCUUCAACCAUUCAGUGAACCGGACCACAGACUAUAGCCUAUUUCAGAUCGUCUAUGAAUCGAACCCAAACAGUGUUUUAGACUUAACUCCCAUCCCUUCCAGUGGGCGAUCCAGUGCGAAAGCUGAAAAUUGAGCUGAAGAAGUUCAAGCUAUCCAUCAGUCAGUCAAACAACAGAUUGAAUCUAGCAAUACCAAAUACAAGGAGGCCACGGACAAACAUCGAAAGAAGAUAACUUUUGAGGCCGACGACUAUAUGUGAGCUGUUCUGAUCAAGGACCAAAAUCUAGUGAGAGAAUACAACAAGUUGAGCCAACGCAAGAUUGAUCCCCUCGAGAUAAUCAAAAAGAUCAAUGACAAUGCCUAUCAGUUGAAGCUACCCAAGCCAUCUUCGAAUAUCCAACGUAUUCAACGUGAAACAUCUAAUUCUUUAUACAGGUGAUUCAUCAGAUGAGGAAGCUUCAAACUCGAGGACAAGUUCUUUUUAGCCUGGAGAGGAUGACGCAUACAUUUUGACUAAUUGGUAUCUGUAUUCGAGGGACAGGAUCCGAAAGGAUCGAAAAAUUUAGUUGACUGCAUCCUGAUUCAGCCGAUUCGACACUGUCGAGUUAGAACGACCAUAACUUUCUCAUCCAAUGUCAGAAUUGUUAUUAUGACUCCAUUUCGAAAAGCUUUUUUCAAGCUUUACAAGACUGGCGCUUUGCUGCCACUGCAAAUUUCGAAGCCUAAUUCAAUCAUCUAACAGGUCAACCGGAGUGCGCAAGAGUCCUAGUCCGACAUAGGAGUUUAGUUUUGAUUUAUUCUUUGUUUUGUUUCGAAUUUCUUUUUUUGGUUGAAUCAAAAUUUUUAGUCCAUAAAUAAGGCCCCCUAACCAACAUUGUAAUCAGUUUAUUUGAAUUAUUAAAUUAAAAUUCCAAAAAAGAGAGUUUCCUCUUCCUUUUGUUGUUUUUCUUUGUUUCGUGCGUCUUUUUCUCCCUUCCAUCAAAACGUAGCCCUAGGCUGCAUCAGUAUACCAUUGCAAGAAUAAUAUCAUGCUCUACAAUAUAAUAAUUAAUAUUUUUUUAUUACUAGUAAAUCUGCAAAUGAAAGCCACAUUACAGAAAAAAAGGCUACUUACUAUAUGGCGUAUCAUUUAUUUUGUUAUAUUAACCAUUAAUAAAUUAGAUCAAAUUAUCGAAGCUAAAUGUGUCUACAAAGAAACACAUGCAUAAACCCCCUAAAGUAGAAUAGGUAUGACUGUUAUCUUUAACUAAGCGAGAUAAAACAUAUAUAUGCCCCAAAAAACUUUUCUAACUGAAAAAGAUAUAUGUUGAAAAUACAAAAAAAAAAGGUACAAGAAUAGUGAAAAUUGAAAUAAGACAGAACAAGGAAGACAAAUGAAGCACACAAAAAGCAGAUAAGAUGUAUAAAACUCAAAAAAAGAAAAUAUAAUAUAAAAAAAGGUAAAAAGUGAAACCCAAAACAAAUACAGAUAUGCAAAGAAAGAAAAAGAAAGCAGAACAUAAGUCAUAAUUUAGUUAACAAGAAAAGGAAAAUAAAGAACAGAAUUUGCAACAAAAAAAAAAAACAACUGCAUUGUAGAAGAACAAAGACAAAGAUUACCAAAUAGAAGACAUUUAAAAAAUAUGUAUAGAACUGAUUUUGUGAAAUAUGAAAAGAGUCAAUAAUAAACAACAUAUGUAAAUUAGAAAAAAUGGAACAUAGGAAUACAAAACAGGACAUACAAGGAAAGAACACAUGAUUAUUAGUUUAUAAAAAAGAAGAUACAAAGGUGAAAAAAGAAAAAGAAAAAAAAAGGAAAACUGAACAUAUGAAGAUGAAAAAUAAAAAACAUAAAGAAAAUAUGUAAAUGAAUAUUCAAACAGAUACAUGAAUACAAAUAAAUAAAAGCAGACAAAUUAACAAACAAAAAUUGAGAAAGUGAACUAAAAAAACAUAAAUAUGAAUAUGAAUAGCAAAAUGAACACUUACAUAAUAAAAACAAAUAGAUUGAAAAAAAUGAUACACAAAAAUAAAAUAAAAUGAAAUUCUAAACAGACAUGCAAACCUGGAUAUAUAAAAACACACCACCAAACCACCAACAGGAUAACAAAAAAUCAAAAUAAAGUAAAAAAAUAUUGAACAUAUGGAAACGGAUAAGAAAACAGAUAAUAAAAAUGAAAGACAAUAGACUAAAAAAGAAAAUUUAAUAUGACAAAGCCAAUGUAAAGAUGGAAUGUAGACAGAAAACAUAAAAUAGAUAUGAAAAUAUAUAACUGAAUUUGAACGAAAUAAAAUAAAUUAAAACUUCAAACAAAUAUACAACAUAUAAAAUCAUAUUAUAGAAUGCAUAAUGAUGCUAAUAAAAAUAAAAAUAAAAUUAAAAACAUAGAGACCAAAAUUGAAUUGUGGAAGCAGUUAUAAAGAUGGAAAUUAAAUAAUAGUCAAAACAGAAUAGAAAGAAAAUAUAAAACUGAAAUGACAAAAAAAAAAAGAAUAAUCUGGAAGUCCAGACAAACAUACAAAACCGAUAUACAAAAAAAAAUUACAAAACAGAUGCAAAUGAAUUAACAUAAACUAAAAAUAUAUAUUAUCCAAUCAAAAAUAUCAAGAACUUAAUAUAAAUAUAUGAAAAAGGACUAAAUAAGAAAAUAGAACAUUGAACUUACAAAACAGAUAGUUAAUAAAAAGAAUGACAGAAAAUAAAAUAUCAAUCUGAAAAGAUAAAUAGACAAAAAUUCCCAGCAAAUACAAUAAAAUAUCAGAAAAAAAAUAUUAAAAAUGAAUCAAACAAAACCUAGGAAUGAAAAAGUAAAAAAUGAGAAUGGAAUUAGAUAACUGAAAGAGAUAAAAUAAACAUAAAAAUGCCAAACUAUCUUCCACAGGAAAAAUGAAUAGAAAAUAAAAAUAAUAUAGUAUGCCAAUGAAAAAUAUACUAUUUUUAACAGUAAAAUAAAAUGAAACUCCAAACAUAUAUCUAAAACCAUAGUACAAUUACAUAUUAAAAACAAAAUAAAAUAAACUCAAAAUUAAAUAACAAACAAACUGAUGACAAACAGUUAACAAUUUUUUUUAAAAAAAAUCAGGAAAAAAAAAAAGAAAAGUGAAUUUGCAGAAGUGAAUUUACAAAGGAACAACACAAACCAACAAAAUAAAUGAUAAGAAGAAGAAAUCAUUAGACAACAUAUUCAGGGGAAAAACAGAGCUCAAGACAUAAAUCAAGACAAAACAAAAAUAGAAAUGGUAAUCAAGCAUCACAAAAUGUAUUAAACAAUAUAAAUGGGAGAUCUUGAUGCUAAUCAGUCAAGUAGGGCGGUAGAAGAGUGCCUAUUCAAAAGAUCCUGAUUAGCAUUUUCUAGACGUGCAGAGAGCUAUAGCUAUUGAUCAAAUAACCCAAUGUAUUACUCCUCACACGAAUAUGUGCAUUUCAUGAGCUGAGUAACAUGUCAUAAAUUAUGAGAUCACAAUAACAUACUCCACAACCAUGUCAUUUCUUUUUAAUCAAUCACAGGGAUCACAAACUGAGUUCAAGUAAAAACUAACCUUUCUGGAAUAGCUUUUAAGAAAGAAUCUCCUUACUAAAAGCUAUUUUUUAAUAUAUAUCUAUAGAUAGGUAGGUAGGUAGAUAUUUCCUUUCUGAACUUAUAAAAUCUUUCUCCUUGUCAACAUUUAAAAAACAUUGUGCACUAGACAUCCUCCAUCAAAAUAAUAAACAUCAAGACAGCAGGUAUAAUGAUGUAAAAGCAAAUAGAUACCCAUGGGUACCACAAGUAUGAUGAUAUAACCUUAAAAUAAAUCAAUAUAUAAGAUAUUAGAAGCACGCUUACAACAUGCAACAAAGAUAUGCAUAGAUUCUGCAACAUCAAGAACUGCUAGAGCAAAUGAAAAGACAGUUUCACAUCCUUCAGUUUCAUUAAAUAAAACUGUUACUAAUUCAAGAGCAAGGCAAUGAGAGAUUCCUAUAGCAGCAAAUCAUAAAUAUUCUCUACUAAAGCCCCUAAUUUGCCAUGUUCAGUGAGAUAUGCAUAUCAAAUACAAGCACGAAAAAAUCAUAGAUAAAUCAAAUAAUAUCUAUUCAAAUACAGACUCAAUAGAACCAAUAAAAGAACACCACUCAUCCACAGUCAUGUAAUUUGACAAAAUCACAUUCAAAGUUUUGAACUAUCCUCAAAGACUUUAUGUGUACAUCAGACAAAGAAAAAGACAAAAGAAACCGCAAUAAAAAACUUUAUUCACACACAGGCCUGUGGAGGGAUUGCAGCAUAACUAGACAACGAUAAUUAUAAGGAGACAGCCAUUUGAACGUGAAUUAUGAAGUAACAGUAACAAAUAAUAACUUCACGUCCAUAACAUUUCAAACAACUCGAUCAUUGCAGAACAACACGGCAAAUAAAUAACAUGAUCCAAAAACACAUUUUUGAACUCCAAAUCCAACCCAAGCUGAAAUAACAAAAAGAAGUCAUGUUCAAAACUCACCCAGUCAUCAAUGAAUAGGGAAGAAAAGAUGAUCAAAAUCCAGAAGUCUUAAAAGACAUAAACAUCCUUUCAAGAACAUCCAAACAAAUAAUCCAACCGGCAGAUCAAUGAAGAAAGUAAUCCCACAUUAAACCCCAAAAGAAUAUCUGAAAGAGACUACAUAUCUUUGCAACUCUAACCCUUGCAAAAGGGUUCACUACCGAUAGGGAAGUCAUAGGAAUUCGAUCUCUCUAAAAAUACAGUCACCAUUUGACAUGUAAAAUCAAAAUAAAGCAAAUAAAUGUUAUAAAAUCCUAUGAAUUGUUAUCCCUGUCGACUUUAGAUAUUAUUGCCAUGGGGGCGGGAAUCUAAAAUCACGGUCUCAAAAGACAUAAAUCACCAAAAACUCGAGGGAUUUAAACAAACCAAAUAACCCAAAAACCAGAGACUAUAGAUAAGAACCAACUGAGAACAAAUAAGAAAUCAAGAACCAUCUCUAGAAUCCAAAGAACCGUGGAACCAAAGUAUAAAUCAAGAACCACCAGCAGAAUCCAAGGAAAAGACAAGAAACUAAGAAACAAGUAAUCAAGUAACCAGCAACCAUAACAAGAAUACAUACAAAAAUCAAAAUUCUUCUCGUCUAUUGGCCCUACAUACAGGAGUGGAAUACUUCUUUCUAAACAAUAAAAGCCUAGGUCGUGCUUGAAGUUUCUGGAGCAAUCAAGAACCGUCUCCAGAGUCGAAAUAACAACAAAACACAACCAGAGAUCAAGAAGCGUGACCAAGAAUCAAAACUUAAAAAAAAAAAAGCAAGGAAACAAGAAAGAAACUAAUCACAUCAAGAACCCACAGAAAAGGCUAGGAAAAGGGGAAUGGAGUGCUUGCCUCCUGCCGUCGGCCUCGUAUUCUGGCGGUGACAGAGGUCGAUAGCAGAUUGCUCGCCCCUUGCCGUCGUUCUUGUCCUCUGGCGGUGGCGGAUAUCGAUAGAAGAUGGUUUGCCCUUACCGUCGUCCUCGUCUUCCGGCAGUGGGGGAGAAUGAUAGCAGAUCGCUGGCCCCUUUCCGUCGUUCUUGUCUUCUGGAGGCGGUGGAGGACGAUAGCAGAUGGCAUGCCCCUUGCUGUCGUCCUCGUCUUCCGGCAGGCAGGGACGCGAAGAAAAGGGCCAACGCCAGGCUCAUCCCCGCUCGCUCGAUUGCCGGAUUCUGAUUGAUCGUCGGGAGAGAAACGGGCCGAGAGUGGGAGAGAGGACGAAAAACAGGCGAAGGGGCGUACGCUGCAAGUAGGUGUACCGGCGUGACGCUAUAAAGGCGGUUACACUGGAUUUCGAUUUUUCCUGGGACUUAAAUUUUGAAAUUCAUUUAUAUACACUGCAAAUAGGUGUACAUGCGAUAUCUCCGUAUCCCGAUAUCAAGAUUCUUUUUUUUGUUAGUAAUAUCAAGAUUUAUUUACGGUCCAUAACUUGUUGUAAUGGAAACGUCAGCAUGCCUGCCAAACACCAACCGAACUGCCUAAACACUCCUUACAAUCCAAUCUAACCUAAUAUAUCUAAUCUAAUUUAAUAUAUAUAUUAUAAAAUAAAAAUUUAAAAAAAAUAAUAUUUAAAAUUAUUCAUGUCAGCAAUUUUUUAUAUGCGAUGUAUCUUUCUACCUAACAAUCCUUCGAAUCUUAAUUUCUAACCUUAAAUUUAUAAAAUAUUAUAUUAAAUUAUAUUUAUAUAAAUUAUAUUAUAUUAUUAAUAUAUAAUAUUUUUAUAUUUUUAUAACUAAAAUUUAUUUGUAUAGAUAUUUAAAAAUAUAAAAUGAUAUUAAAAAUUUGAAUGAAUAUUAUUUUAUUAUUUAAAUAAAAAUUAAAAAAAAUUAACAUUUAAAAUUAUUUACAUAAGUAAUUUUUUUAUACCAUAUGUCCUCUUACCUAACAAUUCUUCAAACCUUAAAUUCAAACCUUAGAUUAAUAAAAAACUACAUUAAAUUAAAUCAUAUUUAUAUUAAUUAAAUUAUAUUAUUAAUAAAUAAUAUUAUUACAUUCUUACAAUUAAAAUUUAUUUAUAUACAUAACUAAAAAUAUAAAAUAAUAUUAAAAAUUUAAAUAAAUAUUAUUUUAUUAUUUAUAUAUAAUUUUUUUUCAAUAUGACCGUAUCUAGAAUCUAUGCACAAUGCAUGGGUUCAAAGUUAGUUAAAAUAAUUCAAGAUAACUUCCCUGACAUAACUCUUCCACUCAGUAAUCAUCAAAUUUAUAACAAUCAUAAAAAGAUAUCUGUGCUAAAAAUCUUUUUGGCUGGAUUGAUUCAUAAAGAAUAACCUAUUUAUGUUACAUUAAAAUAUAGUCAAAAGGCAAAUUAAUGCCAAAAACUUUUAUGCACCUUGAUGUCUCUAAUUCUAAAUUGAUUUGUAAUAUAUUUAAAAUUUAUAAUCCUAUUUCCAACGGUUUGAACUCUGAAUCUUCACAAGCUAAUAGGAACAUUUAAAGUUUGGACAUUGAUGGGUUGACAUCAAAUACAAUGGAAGAUUUCAAAUAUAAAGAACAUGACAAAACUCUGGUGGAAGCAUUUGCACCAGUGAUACGAUUUUUUUAAACAAAAAUUACAGAAGCCAUAUUUUUUAAAAUAAUAAUCUAUUUGCAACAAAUAUUUUGUAAUAUUGAUAUUGUGUUUGUCGUAUCUUUGUUUUGUAUAAGCUUCUUUGCUUAUUAUCGUUUUGAUAAGGUAUUUUUCCCCACUGAUCUCAUCUUCUAAUAUUUUCUUUUUAUUUCUCUUUCUAUAUGAAGAGAAAUGAGAAAAAGAGCAAGCGGGACACCAGGAAAACAAAUGCAAUAAGGCAAAAAAUGUUUUGCAAGAUUUCUUACAAUAGUAAAUACAUGGAAGGAGCUAUCUGCUAGCGUCGAUCGAACCCUGUUUAACAGUUAAUAAAUUUAUAUGGAGAGAGAAAAGGUGUUUUCUUUUACCAUGACAUUUUUGCAUAGGCUCCCUUGACUAACAUGGUCCUAUGUACGUUUUUGUAUCUACUUGAUUAGAAGCUCAAUUUAAAAGACAGCAAUCAAUGAACCAAAAAAUGGUCGCAUGAGUGCAUUGAGGUUUGAAGAAAAACUAUUUCGAUCGAAUAGGGAGCAGGAACGUCCGUUGAUGGGAAAAAAAAAAAUCAUAUUUAGUUGAGAAUGAUUUGGCUUAAGAAGAAUCGGAAGCCAAAUAAUAGAUCAAAAAUUUUAAUUUUAAUCAACAUAAAUUAAAAAUUAAAAUUCGAUCUACUAAAAGUGUAAAUGGGUCGAAUCAGAUCGAAUCGAAUCAUGAGUGAUCUCGAUCCAAUUUGAUUGAUAAAAUUUUGAUAUUGAAUUCAAAUCCAACUCAAUAAAAAUUGGAUCGAAUCAAAUCAUAUCCAUAAUCAAAUUUCUUGACCCAAUAGAUUAUUCGAAUUGGAUCGAGUCCGUGUAUAAUCCGGUUCUAAUUCAUAAAAUACGGAUCUGGAUUGAAUUUGAGUCGGAUUGUGGGUCUAAUUAACCGACAAACAUCCACUAUAGCUAUUCAACCAAUUCUCAUGAGUGAAAUUGAAGUUGAUCUCACAAAUUUACAAUCCAAUGACACUCAUAGCAUAAUAAUUUUUUUGAGUGGUCAUCAAUAAAUGAUAAUUAUAUCCUAGAAAACUGUCAAGAUAUACCUGAUGUACAUAUGAAAGUUGGUCGUGGGAUACAACUGAAAGUGAAAUAUCUAUUUUUCAGUAAUCCUCUAAAUUUCUAGAGUUAGAAAAGUUGUGUUGGUUUGUUGCGAAGGGUUUUUUAUGAAACUAGAAAAAAAAAAGAUAAUAUUUGUUGGGUACUCCAUUAACUUGAACCAAUGAAUGCCACUUAAUUGUUGACGUGAAAAGAAAAGAAGAUAAUAUCGUGUAGGUAGGUAACCUGUUACAAUUUAUACGUAGCCCAUAUAGUAUGUAAUAAAUUUGGAUCAUAUAGUGGGUUCGGGUUAAAUCGGAUCAUCGAGAGUAUAAGAUCUAUAUAAAUCAAAAAAUCUCAGUAAGUUAAAUUGGAUCGGAUCAAAAUAUAGUAAAUUUAUGUCCGGUUCGAAAAAUAUAAUAAAUUUAAUUUUAAAAUUCAAUCUAAAUCCAUGAAUUUUUUUAAAUGAUUUGGGUUAGAUCUUCAAAGCUCAGGACAAAUCAGACCGCAGAUCAAUUUUACCCAUUUGCGGCCUUACAGUCCGCCAUUAGAUCAGACGCUAAAUUCCCCUCAAUUGUUUACAGCUCCUCGCAAACCACCACCACUUUCCGUAUAAAUAAUUUUGCAGACACAAACUACGUCGAACUUUCUAACUAAACCAUUUUUUACCAAAAGAAAAAAAUAUUAAUUAAUUACAGGCCACUGGCUAAGAAAUUUCAUAUAGACUGUAGAUGAUUUGCAACCUCCGUAUGUACUGUGUCGAAGUAAAAACUACAUUUGUCGUUUUCAAGUGGGCCUUUCAACAUUUUCAUCUUUGUCGCUUAUAACAUUUCAUACAAAGGCUUCUACCCAAAAAAGAAAUUACAUACGGAGACUACUAAUGCCUUACAUUUCAUCCACAUCGGUGGCAAUGGUGAGGGACAAAGGCCAACAAUAUUAAAACGAAACAGACAUGAUAUCGAUUUACCAUAUUCUUUAGUCCCCAACCAUAUUACCAUAUUCGGGGAUGCGCAGUUUCCAAACUGAUAUUGUUAUAUUUUAGUUCAAUUUAUAAUGUUUUUAAUAAUUUUAGCAUAUGGCUACCAAAGGUUUUCACAAAUUGGCUAUCAAGUGAUGGUUUUGUCUAGUUUAGCACGAUCCAAUACCAUGAUCUAUUCAGCAUUAUCUAUCGUGAUAACUACAGUUGAAUGAAUAAUUAUUUUUAAAUAAUAUUUUUUAUAAAUCUAAUUUAUAAGAGCUUUAGCCGAUAGCUGCAUACAAGAUAUAAGCAAUUGCUAGCCUACUUCAUUUAGUUUUUUUUUUUUUUCUUUAAUUUUUUUUUUAAAUGCAGAAGGAAGAAGUGAGUCGCUUCCCCCAAUACAUUUAUUGAUAGAAGCGUUAAAAAGAGAUGUACAUUGAUAGAUUGUACUCUAGACAACGCUUCUACAACUACCACAUGUUCGCCCUCUCUUAAAGACCAUAUGGAGAGUACGAAUGACAACCAUCCUAUUAAUCUAUUUCAACUAUAUUUUUUCGAACUUCUAUAAAAUUUUUGUAUGUAUAUCCUUUUAAACAUUCAAAUUUAUAUGAAUAUUUUUUUAAAAUUAAUAUUUACAUAUAUAUCCUUAUAAAAUAUUUGAUUUAUAUGUAUAUUCUUCUUUUUUUUAUUUGUUUUAUAUAUACCCACAUCAUCUAAUGCCGUUAAAAAAUUAACAAUUUAAAAUUUAAAUAACUGAAAUACUCUUAUGGGUAGAUAUGCAAAAAAAAAAUUAUAAGAGUAUAUAUGUAAUUAGCAAUUUACAAGGGUAUAUAAAUAAAUAUUAAUUUUGAAAGGAUAUUCAUGUAAAUUUUGACAUUUAGGAGAGUAUAUAGGCAAAAACUUUUAAUUUAUUUUUUUCUAUUAUAUGUUAUUUUAAUGAGUUGGAAAGAAUUUAAACACGUUAAUUAAUGUCAUAGUAAGAGUGAUUCAAAUACAUUAAUUUUUAUCUAUUGCUUCUUUGUUGGUGUUUAUAGUAGGGACAGUUCACUUGUUUAAAGAUUUUAUUCAUCUAUUAUCAUUAUUCUCAAAAGCAAUAGCUGAGAUAUCAAUCCUUAAUAUAGCUGGACACUCAAUUUCAUUCUUGUCUUUGGUUCUUCUUUUGGUCGUCCACUCGAACCUCCUCUAUUGGAGCUACUUCACCUCUACUUUGGUCUUGGCUACCUAGUAUUGAUUGAGAAAAUUGUAUAUCAUUAGCUUCUUUUGUGACAAAUAAGAAGUACUCCAUCAAAUCUUUAUAUUUUUCAAAUAAACUCAUUAGUUUAUGAUAUGUAUCUAGACUUAUAUAAGACUUAGAUGAUAAAUGUCUAACGACAGACCAAAUCUUUAUGGUCUCUUUAAGCUUCAAAUUGAAUAUGUACACUAUAUCAUCAUAUAGAUCCAUAUAAGAAUAGUGAUCAACAUCAACUAACCAAUUUUUUUGUUUCCCAAAAUAAUAUUUUAUUCUUGUAGAAUUCUUAAUCUUCUUAAAAUAACCUCCAAAUUUCAUCUUCAAUUUGAAAAGCGAUUGCUCCAUUUUAAUAAGCCUAGACAUGGAAUAAGCAACUAUUCAUGAUAAAUCAUAUACGAGAUCAAAAUUAAUAUGAUAUAAAAAUAAAAAUAAAAAUCAUAUCCAACAAAGAAAUAAUAGAUAAAAAUUAAUGUACUUGAAUCACCCUUACUAUGACAUUAAUUAAUGUGUUUAAAUUCUUUCCAUCUCAUUAAAAUAACAUACAAUAGAAAAAAAUCAAAUUAAAAGUUUUUGCCUGUAUAUCCUCCUAAACGUCAAAAUUUGCAUGAAUAUCCUUUCAAAAUUAAUAUUUAUUUGUAUACUCUCAUAAAUUGCUAAUUGCAUAUAUAUUCUUUUUUUUUUUUUGCAUAAAUAUCCAUAAGGGUAUUGCAGUCAUUUAAAUUUUAAACCGUUAAUUUUUUUAACCGCAUUAGAUGACAUGGGUAUAUAUAUAUAAAAUAAAGAAAAAGAAGAGUAUACAUGCAAAUCAAGUAUUUUAUAAGGAUAUACAUGCAAAUAUCAAUUUUGAAAAGGUAUCCACGCAAAUUUGAAUGUUUAGAAGGAUAUACAUGCAAAAAUUCUAACUCCUAUUCAAGAAUCACACAUGCAAAUUGUACAUUUAGCUAUCUAAUAUAUAUUAUAAAAAUAAAAAAUAAGAUAAAAUUUAUAAAUCAUUAGGAUUAUCCACAUAAGCAACCAUUUUUUAUCUGUAAAGAAAUAUUGAAAUAUUACCGACUCAACUUCUCAAAUGAGUUUUGUUAUACUAUCAGGACAGAUCACUCAUUCACAUUAAAUUAUGUUAUUAAUGCAUAAUAUUAUUAUAUUUUUAUAAUUGAAAUAUAUGUAUAUAGAUAGUUGAAAAUAUGAAGUGAUUUUAAAAAUUUGAAUGAAUAUUAUUUUAUUAUUUAAAUAUAAUUUUUUUUAAUCUAAUUAAAUCUGAAAAAAAAAUUUCAUACAUAUGACCCCACGCAAAUCUUCAAUUAGUUUUGUAUAUAAAUAAUAAUAUUUUAUCUUUUCACUGUGCUAUUUUUGGUAAUUCUAUUUACAUGGAUUUCAAUGUAAAGAAAUAUAUCAUAUCCGAAGAAUCAUUAUCAGGAUAGAGUAAGCAAUUAUGACUAUUAUGCAGCACUAUUACGAUUCAUGAUAAUGCAUGUAGAGUUGGAGCCAUAUUAUCUGAUUUUUAUUUUUUUAAUUCAAAACAAUAUUUGGAUAUCAUGGCACUAUAUAAUAGAGGUGCUCAAAACUAAUAUAUAUAAUCUCUCUGUGCUUCAAUUUUUCUUCUUAGAGUGCACAAAUAUUAAGCACCCAAAGACACUAUUUGACAAUACGAUAAUUACAACAAACCUAUCACCAUUUUUGAUAACUAUAUAAAGUAAAUUGAAUUUGAAUAAUGUUUUUUAUAAAUUUUCUUUCUAUAUCUAAUCAGCGAAUUACAUCUACAAGAGUUGGGCAUCGAACCAGCAACAUACAUUGAUGGAUGGACAACGAUCACAUGAUACGUCGGGUUCAUAAUGAAAGGCUGAAGCUGUUAUCACGUUCGGAUGUCCGUUACACCAAAACCAUGCUUCGAAGCCCAUUCUGGUCCCAUCCGGGUCGUACCGGAUCCGCACUCAAUGCGGUCCAAUUUGAUAUUGAGAACUUACCAGGUUCCGUUCGCUGAAGCCGCCGUCCGCUGGUACGACGCGUACCAGCGAUCAGACGUUUCAAUUCUCCCCGGACGCUGAUCCCAUAAACGAAUCCAUGACUGCCACGUAGUCGCGCACGAUAGAUUAACAGGACCCUCGAUCAAGGACACAUUAGCGAGGUUCAGCCAACCUAAACGCAAAGGAGAGUUCUCCAAAGCCUCUAAUGGCGGUUCGGAGCGCCUGAAGGCGAACAAGGAGUGCUCGCCCCCACCAUUUCUCGAGCUCGAGGCGGCGGACAGCUCGAUCGAUCUCUCGAUACUCGGGAAGACAAUUUCAAGGGGAAAGAAUGGCGGGCGAUUCCGAGAAGCGGCUCCAGAAGGUCUUGGACAGGCUCUACCAGUAUCCCAGGCCGAAGCCCUCUCCCUCCAGGUUCUCCUCCGAAACUAUAGAAAAUCUAGGGUUUUGAUCGUCUUUUUUCUUUGUUUUCUUGGAUCUUCAACGUAUUUUAGCCGAAUCGCUUUCAUUUUUGAUGUGGUAGUGGGAUCAGUUCGGUGGAUAGAGGGAAGAGGCUGGAUUCGGGGUCGAGAGCAGGCCUUGGCGAGCGGCUGAGGCUUCCGACCGUGGCUUCGAUGGGAGUACUUGGGCCAACUCCUCCGUGCCGGCCGUGGGAUCGAGGGGAUUUGAUGAGGAGGCUGGCUACGUUCAAGGCCAUGACCUGGUUCGGAAAACCGAAGGUUUGAAUCGUCUCCCUAUUGGCCCAAUACAAUAGAAGAAGUAGAAGAAGAAGAAAAAAGAUCGUCUUUUUUUUAUUAUAGUGGGUAAGUUUAGGCUUUUAGAUGCUAAAGGUUUGCUUUGCGAAUCAGGCAUCUGAGUGUUACGAUUGUUUGUUAAUCGGGUAGACUUAUAGAGCAAGAAUACAGAAUUAAUGAGGGUUUCUGGUGACAAAGAAAAUCAAGUAUUGCCAUUUGUGAAUUAAUUUCAUGAGAGAAAGGAAGAUAUUUUAGGUAUAAGGCGAACUGAUGGUGAUACAGUGGAAUAGACAUGUUUAAGAAUCGCGAGCGUAGAAUUAGCAUUUUUGAUUUCUGAGGUUACCUUUUUUUUGGUCCCCAGCGAAUGUGAUGAUUUUACAAACAAGAGCUGGUUACCUUUUUUUUGGUCCCCAGCGAAUGUGAUGAUUUUACAAACAAGAGUUGUAUUGCAAUUCAAAUAUUCCGUGUGUAUUUAUUUAUUGAAGUUCAGCCUGAACUCUUCUUGAAUUUGUAAAAUAAUAUCAUGCUGGUAUGAUGAUUUAAAGUUUUGGGACAUGGCAACAAUUAAAUCUAUAGUUUUUCCAGGUAUUUAGGCAUUGUAUUCUUGAAUUGAGAGUACUAUAGAAGUGUAGAAUUCUAGCAUUGACUUUUGCAGGAUAUUUUUCAUCUUUUAUGCACAUAUAUGAAAAAGUAAUCUUUACAUGCUCGUUGAUUGUUUUGUGAGGGGAUGUUAUUAUUAUUAUUUUACAUUGUACCCAGGUGAUCAGUCCUGUCAAUUGUGCAAGGAGGGGUUGGAUUAAUGUAGAGAUGGAUGUUAUAGCAUGUGAAGCAUGUGGAACACGACUUCUUUUUUCUACUCCAUCUUCUUGGACAAUGCAACAAGGUCUGUUGUGCAUUCUAUAUUAUCUUUACCUUAAGAACAAGCAUGGAAGUUCUAAUCAUUGCCUGCUUGCAAGGAUUAUGCUAACGAGCCCCGUAGUUACAAGAAAUUCCAUGUUUUUCUGGCCAACUUUAAAUUAGCCAGUUGUCACAUGGACGAGCCAUAGCUGAAAUUUAUUGUAAUUAAAUGUGACCAAGUCUUUUCUUCAAGUUUCACUAAUAGCCAAUGGCUUAUCUCAAGAAUUAUACAGUACAAUAUUUUUAUAAUCUUGUUAGUUGGAUGUCUAUUAUUCGUUCUAUUGGUUAUUAUCGGUAUAAAGAUAUUGGAUGCUAUAGAUGCUUCGAGUUGAUUUUUGACUUGUGGAUUUCGAUAUAAUUCUGAUCCUAUUGUAAACAUGUUGUAUUUCUUUACCUAUACUACUCUUAUUCUAAAACCAUAUAUCCCUUAUUGCAGUUGAAAAGGCUGCGGCUGUAUUAAGCUUAAAGCUCGACAAUGGACACAAACUGCUAUGUCCAUGGAUUGACAAUGCAUGUGAUGAAACAUUGGCACUGUUUCCUCCAACACCUCCUUCAGCGCUUGUUGGGAGUUACAAUGAACGUUCUUCUACACUCCUACAUCUCUCAGCCCUUCCUAUAAUUUCUUCCUCUGCCAUUGAUUACAUGAAGAUGAAGAGCCCUCAGCUAGAAGAAUUCUUGACAGAGCCUUCUCAUGCAUCAAUCGUCCUAAAAAAUGGCAUUAGGCUUACAGUUGGUCCUGAAAGCAAAGAUUGGGAGAGUGCGUUGGAUGCUGGUAAUUCUGAUCUAUAUUAUGAGGUAUAACAUGCUUAUGCUACUAAGUUACUAACAUUAUAAUAAUUGGUUGCUUGACAUUAUCCUUGAAGACACUCAUGCUGGUUGAGGAAAUAAACUGCAAGUUGUGCAUGCUUCAAAAAGAUCAUUGCAACUAAAUGCAACUUCCCCUCACCACCCUACAGCCCAAAUUCAAUUAACUGGCUGUGUAUGAUAAAGAUCAUGAUGUUGCCUUGAAAUGGUGAAAACCACUUGACAACAAAGUAAUUUCCUGUCUUUUUCUUUUUCUGAACCCUAUUUAUUUUUAAACUAGAAAUUUCUUCUUUGUUAGCCAGAGACAUCUUAUGCUACUUAGGUGGAAUGUUUUUGGGUGGUGUUCUGUAAAGAGUGGUAGGCAAUCUGUAGAGGAACAGAAGAGUUUUGAUUGGGGGCAUAGGGCUCAGGAGGGAAAUAAAAUUUAUUAAAGAUUUGAGAUCUUUGUUAUCUAGGAAUUUAAUUGUUCCAAAUUGUAUCGGAUAAAUCUGAUGUUUGUUGUUAUAUUCAGAGAUUUUGACUAAGCUAGGUUCAAACUACUAGUUCGGUGCACUAGGCCACUAGCCUGAUUGGAUGUUAUUUGGUUGCUGGGGAACUUCAUCGUUGUGUAUUUUACAAACCAAUGAUCCACUCAGAAAAUGGCAAUUUCCUCACAUCAAGAUUUUUCUCUUUGAAUUGAUCAGGGUGUGAUUCCCUUACUUCUUUGAAGGAAAAUAUUAUAGUUAAUUCUUUAACUUUUGUGCAUAAAAUUUUUGUUUAUAUAAAAACAAAAAUGUUAUUUUGAAAACCUUUUCAUGUGAAACAUUGUAAUUCAAUCAGGAUUCAUCUCUUAUUGCAUAUACAGAUAUGGGAGGAUAUGAAAUUUGGAGUAAUUCUAGGUAUAUCUGAUGCUGUCUUUAUGGUAAAUCCAGAACUAUUUUAGGUACAAUACAAAAUACCACCACAUAAAUAUCAGUUCCAAGUUCCAACUGAAUUAUUGAUUAAACAUCAGAGCAUAACUCUGGUACUACUGUUGCUCCUAUACCAAGUUUAACAAUAUAACCAUCUCCUGCACACCGCUUUUAGAUUACACUUGCCCAUGAAGUAUCAAGAAACAUACUUCAUAUUUCCACUAUCAUUAGCCACUUGAUUGUAUGUUUAUUUCCUAAUUUCUGAUUUUAGAAAUUGAAAUAGUAAUUGAGACCUAAAAGAUGUUUUGUUAAGCCUUUUUUUAAAAUCUAAUAAAAAGAAAAUUCUUUAGAAGGAGAAUUUUUGGUUCCUAAUAAUUUUGUUUUAUAUUUUUUUCCUAUGAAGCUUCCACAACCACCAAAUCUGUUUUUGUUAAUUUAUGUUUCUGAACUUACGAAACAGUUAGUACCAAAUCGUUCCCUGUUUUCAAAAAUGGUGAACGAGGUUUGUAACCUGUUUUAAUAAAAUUAGAAAGCUGACAGUGUUGCAAAAUGGGCGCUAGAGUGCUUCACCAACCACAUGCCUGUCCUCUAACUGUAAUAUUUUAGUGAUUGUCUACUAUUGCUCUGUUGCACAACAAGUGUUGCAAGCCAUAUACCAAAGUUGAGAUUGUUGUACUCCACUCCUGCAUCACGUAUAGCAUUGUAUUAUCCUCUUCAUUAGCAUUUCAUAAUGUGUUUCUCUUAAUACACUCUUUGGUAUAGUUUAUUUAUCCUUUUGGUUGUGAAGAGUCUAUGUCUAGUAUCCAGAAGGAGAUGGAUGCAAGAGUACUUACCAUCCUUCAUUGAAUUCUUCGAAAAUCUCUUUCUAUUUAACUGCAAGAACAUCUUUGGAUUCGAAUAUGCAUCUGUUUACUAUCUACCAUCUUUUAAAAGAAAGUUGCAGUACUUAAUAUUUGGAUGAUUGGGUGCAUGUGAUAGGAAGAAACACAAAUUUAGAACUUGAUUCAGCCAAUUGAUUGUGGUGAUCAGCCAAACUUCUGGUUAUCUCUUUGGCGCCAGCAAGUAUAUACGAAUCACUGAUUUUAUUGGAGUUUUAUAGUUUCUUGGACUCGCAUCAAUCUGUACCUAGUAAUUUGAUCUUGAAAAUCCCCUCUUGAUAUUGCCAAUGCAGACUGCAUCCACCAUUAUUACUUAAGCAUUGUCAACCAUAUCAUUUCUAAACUUUAUAUUAUGCUAUCACUACUGGUUUAAGAUGGCAUUUUAUUUCUUGGAACUGAAUGGUGAUGUUUUCUCGAAGUUUUUAAAUGUACAUCUGAGCAUAUUAUGUGGAAAAAUUGCCAUAAACUGCAACUGCUUGAGUUGAAAAAUUAUUGGUUAAAGUCUGAAGGUUUAUCUUCUUUCUUUAGAAUUUCAAGAGACUUGCAUAUGAGCAUCUCCUUCUCCUUGUCUAAUAAUAUACGAGCUUCAUGGCAAAUCUGUGGAGUGUGCUCCAAAUUUAAAUGACAUAGGAAGUUGUGGAUUACUUGUGCUACCACUACCACAGAGAUCCCAUCAAAGUAGCAUCUGGUUCAUGUUUUCUGUUUCCUCCUUGUUUAAUUUCUUUCAUCUACUUAUUGUGAUCUUUGAACCUUUCGAUUGUCUGCAAUCUGCAUAAAUCUAGUAUAACUACUUUGUAUGUUCUCACACUUUAGAUCGCUCAUGAAUUGCAAAAGUUUGUGUAUGGUGAAAUAGAACCUUCACUUUACAUAUGUUACAUGUCAACACAACCAAUUACAAGUGGACGUACUGUGAGGCUUUAUGAGCUCAAGGUAUCAAUUGUGUUCAUGCAUGUGUGUAACCAAAGUAAGAUGCUAAAUCUGUUCAGCAUUUCUAAAUUGAUAGACUUGGAGAUUUGAAACAGAUAAUCCUUUUACAGGUCCAAGCUUGCUACUCAUUCUACAAAAUACAAAUAUCCUAGUCCUUCAAAAUUAUGUAAGAAACAAAAUCAACAUAUUGACACACCUCAAGGUUGCUGCUGAUGAUUCUGAAGGAAUGAAGCUUUCUUAAGGUUGACUAAAUUAAUUAGAAUAAAUUCUGAUAUUGGUUAUUCCUAUAACCAUGCUUCUAACACUCAUUGCAUUUUUUGUCAUUAGUGCUGAGCAAGCCUCUCCAUACUCUUGUACUGAAUUCAGGAAAACAUUUGACAAAUGUUUUUUUACCAAAUAAAGAAUGCUUGUUUGUUUGCUGUCGACUUCUUUAAUAGCUCUGUCUAGAUCAUUGAGAUCAUAUAUCCUCAAGAGUGAAGAAUUGAGCAUAAUAUUCUUUGCUAUUCUAAUAUUAGAUUUUUCAGGGUGUGCUCUACAAACCUUUUUCAGGAUGUACUUCAUGAUAACCAGAUUUUUAUGUUUCAGUUCCAUGCUGUACCAGUUCCCCUGCACAGCUACAGCAUGUUUGGCAUGAAGGGAAUUAUAGGCAAUUCAUUGUUAAUAAUAUUGUGAUUAACAUGAAGUUGUAUUAGGAUUCUGUCUAAUGGAAUGCUUAUAUGGCAGGACCAUGGAUGCUUACUGUUUCUCAUUAACCAAAACAUUAGGUGAGAGCGAUUCCUAAAGGCUAGAUAACUACAAUUUGCAUGGGUUGUCAUUCUUCCUUAUGGAGUGCAGGUUUAGUUUACUUAUAUAUACUCAUGUUGUUAUUCUUCUAACAAUUAAUGACUGGAAAUAUGCUUUUCAAGUGUUUUCUGGAUUUCUCAAUAGUAAUUGUGUUAUGCCAUGUCAUGAUAUAGUUUUACAUAACCUUUGGAAACACAUGUUGCUCGUUCUUUAGUUUUUAAUACUUCCAAAGGUAACAGUUGGUCUAUAAAUUGUAGGCACUGAAAAUUGUAAGUUUAUGUGGAUGGGAACCUCGACUGCUUCCUUAUGCUGUUGAAAGUGAGGACAGAUCUAGUUCGUUUGGCAAAGGUGCCUCUACAUCUGAAACAUCAGAACAUAUACUUCGUGAACAAAAAGAAGGCAUCAAAAUUCGCUCGUCAAAUGGGCAGGGUGAAGCUGAGAGGGGAGAACAUAUCAACCCUACUUUUGGUGAUUACCAAUAUGAUCCCGCAUCUGUUGUCUUAGACUGCGGAUUUUGUGGAGCACGUGUGGCAUUAUGGGCUUUAACAAUGACACAGCGCCCUUUGGAAAUUUUUAGUGUGGUUGCAGAUUCAUGCAGCCAAAAUGAGCCAGCCACUAUUGAUGCAGACCUAGUCAGCAGAAUACAAGCUCCAAGGACGGAAAAUUUGGGCUUGGGAAUUUACAAUUCAAACAAAGGAGUCAGUGAUACUGGUUAUAGUAUUUCAUCAGCCAAAGAAAGACAUCUGGGCUUAAAUUUUUCGAUUGCAGGUGGUCCUCCACCAACUAGACAAAACUAUAGACCAAGAGUUUCUUUCCCCAUUGUUAGCCGGCAUUUAAGAGCUGAACUCAGUGUUAGCAAAAAUCAUGCAUCAUUUAAAGAUUCAAGCGGGAGUCAAACACAUACUCAGCAUUCCUCACAACAUGAUGAUCUAUUGCAGCAUCAAAAAGAUACUGAUGGCGGUCUUGUUAUUCCAGAAGGUGCAAGUUCACUAAAGCGUAAAAGAAGUGAAAAUGAACUCAGCAGUGAUGUCAAUUUUCAGUCCCAUCCUAAAGGGGAGAUACAGGGGGGUGGCAAUACCUCCUUUGAAGGUCACCACAGUGAGCAAGGAGCUUGCUCAUUGCAUAAAAAUAGCAACAUUGAAAAUCUGCAAGAUGCCAUUCAACAUGCGCCAGAAGUUCUGCAACGAACCGAUAUUGAUUAUAAAGAUAAAGGAGAGGUGCCUCCUGAAAAAAACGAAGCUGAUAGUAGUGUUAAAGUUGGAGAAGGCAUAUUUACGACACAAAAGGAUGCCGAACCCUGUGGGAACAACUUAAUGAUGGAAUCAGAAGAUGUCUGUAACCAAAAUCGCAAUGGUGUUUCAAUAUUAGAUUCAGUAUGUUAUGGAGAAGCUUCUGAAACCAAUCAUGAUGAUUCUUCUAAUAUUGCAUCUUGUUCAUCUACUAAGGCAGCUCUGUCAAGUCACCAUAAUAUAAAUUCAGGAAAAGGUGGCAAGGAUUCUGAUCUCCAAAGCAUUAAGGAUGCAAAGGCAAUAAAUCAAAAGGCCAAUGGAUUGAUGAAUAUCAGCAGUAAAGCAGAUGCAAACCAUGCACCAGGUAAGGAUUCUUUUACUCCGUUUUUUUCCUUUUUUCAAAUUCAAGGUCAUGUUUCAUUUUAGUUCCAAGCUUCUAAUAAGGAGAUUCAUUCAAAUUAGUCGUUUCCAUCAGCCGUGUCUGCAUUUCUUUUCAAUUAUCCAACAGGACCGAUUCUUUGUGGUACAUGAGCUACAACUUUGCAAGUUAUCAACUCUACUCUUCUUUUCAAUUAUCAACUCUACAACUUUGCAAAUUAUCAACUCUUCAUUUCUUUUCAAUUAUCCAACAGGACCGAUUCUUUGUGGCACAUGAGCUACAACUUUGCAAAUUAUCAACUCUAUUCUUCUCACCAUCAUUUAGGUUCUUUUGUGUCACACAAUACCCAACAGCAUUUUCUUGGCUGCCACUACAGGACCAUUUAAUGAUACCCUCCUUGUUGCUCUAAGUAGGCCCUUUCAUAUGUCAUCUGAUUGAGACAAAAAGAAUUAAGUUCAUAUUGCUUGUGAUUGUAUUCUUUUACAUUGGAUAACUAAUAAACAUUUUUUUUUCUUUUGAUGCACUGAGUUAUUGUACUUAGUGCACUAACCACAUGCACAUUGCACCAAAAUAUUUAAAAAACUAAAGAAGUUCAUGCAGCAAGUUUUUGUCAGUUCAUGCAUUUCUUUUAGUUCGUGUCAAACUUGAGUGAGGAUGAAUUAUAUAUUAUGUGAAGUAAUUUUCUAGAGUUGUGCUGUACUUGCAUGCUAAUUAAACAAAUGGUGAGAGUUGAUAUAAAUCCAUGCCAGCUGCAGCUUUUUAGUUUUCAUGGCUGGUUGGUCUUUUGCCCAUAAUUUUCUUACCUUGGAAUUUGUCACCUAUUAGUAGUGUUCUGAUAUGCUAGUCUGAGAGCUCAAUGCAAAACAUUCUAAAGCAUUGAAUAGAUCAUAACAUGAUCCAUUAAUUCCAAGCCAUAUAGAGGAAUAUAAAGCUUAUUUAACCUUAAGGGUCAAGUUAUGAUUUUACAACUUGUCUUUGCGAUUGUUUAAUAGAUUUUUUAUUCUUCUAUUGCCUCAAUCUCUUACUUAUCUUUAAAAAAAUAACAAAAAUAAAAACCAAAUGAUUCAAUUAUGCUUUGUAAACCGAUUUUGGUUUACAUGAUUGAUGUAUUCAUAUUUCUGAUGGGUUUUGAAGAAGUCCUUGUUUUCAUUUUUCAUCCAUUUGCUUUAGAGUAAUAAAAAUAUAUUUCGGAGGUGCUUCUGUUAGGUGAUUUUUCACUUUAUGGUGGGUUUAAAAUUCAUCAAGCUGAAUUGCAGCUUAUGAUUUAAAUGACUCUUGAAAUAAAUUUCAAUAAAAUAUUAACAAAAUUUGAAAAAAAAAGGGGAUGAACUCCUGAGCAAAUAAUCCUUGUGUCUUGGCCACCAAGCCAGCAUUGACACUUCAGGGAAUACAGUGUCCAUACUUGUGCAUAAUAUUUCACCAAACAUCUGUCAACAUGAAUAAUCAGCUUUUGUAAUUUCAGUGUCAUACUUAUGUUUUCUGUUCUAAUCGGGGUGAAAUCCUCUUCCACUUAAGCUUCAAAAUCUUUUCACCACAUUUUUGGAGAUACCAAGUAAGUCAUAAAUAACUAUCUAGGUCAUUGAUGUAAAUAAAAUUUUGUUUCUUUUUUCUUUUAAUAUUUCUGCUUUUUUAGCCCAGACAGCAUCCUGUGAUAGAGCUUCAAAUACUUCUCAACCAAUUCUGUAUUGGAGGUCUUUAGUUUCCCUUGUCAAAAAGCCAACCAUAAGCAUGACCAACAUGUCUUUCUACAUUGCACAUGAUUGGCUUUAUGGAUGCCUCAUAUAUCAUUCCUAUGGAGAGAUAUCUUUUGUCAACUAGAGUUACAAAUGGGUGGAUUGUGACCAUAGGAAAAAUUCUGAGGAUUCAAGGAAAUAUACCUCCUGUGCAUACCUCUUCUUGUUCUCUUACCUUGGACUCUCUCACCUUGGAGUCACUUAAAAAAAGAGGAGGAGAAGAAGAAGAAAUCCCAAGAAUUGCUAACUUCUCGAAUAACAUUAUAUAAAAUUGAUUUAUCCUUCAACAUAUGGUGUACAUUUGAUCAAUGAAAAUCCUAUGCAAGAAUUCUGCAAUCUUUAUGUGGAUUUCCAUGAUGAUGACAUGACAAAAUCUGGUAGUCAAGGAUAUAAUUCAAUGGAGGUCCUUGAGAUCUUGUGGAUAGUGAAUCUUCAUUGGUACUAUCAAAUCCAUAUGGUUUUCCUGUUGAUAUCUCUUCCAGAGAAUCUUAACAGGCUCGCUAUUUUUUAAGGAAUUCACACAUUGAGGGGAUUGCCACAUGCUAUUGCUAUUAUCUUUUGUGGUCGUUGAUCAAUGCAUGAAGAGGUUUUAUCAAUCUAUUAUUGUUUUUAAUUGUCUUCUUCUGAACACGACACGGAGAAUGUGUGUUAUUGGGGGGACAAGCUUCUGUGCUGCGAGAAUGUAGGAUGCAUAUUAGUGAGCAGUUCAUGAGCUAGAAGCAUGCAAAAGACAAGAAGCAAUGGCAAGAAUUGUCCUCCAAGAGCAGCAGUUGUUCAGAUGCUUCACCUGUUAAAAUACCUGGUAUGUCAGAAAUUAGAGCAGAGCCAUUGGAUAGCAUUUAAAUUAGCAUCCUGACGCAUUAAGAAUCACACAAAUCAGAGUGCAGAUGAAACUAUCAUGGCCUUCAGCCAGACAAGAUAUUUUGCAAUUUAAAGGAUUACAAAAGGUCACAAUUCAAUCACCUUUGCAAACCGUAGAAGCACCCAUUACGAAAGUAUAAUAUUUCUUUGUAUUCUGCAAAUCAUUUUUAAGCUACCACCAUCACUACUUUUUGGUGAUGUUCAACUGGUUUAAGUAGCAUAUGCUGGGAAUAGUUGGUGGUUUUUUAAGGUCUAAAAAUAACUAAAAUUAAUUUUUAAGACUAAUUUCUGGUUUAAGUUGGAAUUUGCUUGUAUUUUUAGGCAAUAGGUAUCUUUUGGGUCUUGAAGGUAGAGACUCUUGUUAUUGAGUCUUAUGAUAUAAAAGACAAUUGAGCUGUGGCAGAUUUUUUUGACACUAUGCACUGGAGUACCACAUCUUUCUACUCUCUAACCUUCAGCGUCUUUCCCUUUGAUUUUAUUUUUUCUUUAUAUCAUAAUUGGUACCAGGGCUUGUAGCACAUCACUUUGUGGUUUUGCGUUACAUCAAUUUUAUCAUUCUCAUCUCUAAAUAAUUACGAUGUAUAUAUUUCCUCCGGCUCUUAAAAAUUGGUCUUCCAGCAGGACUCUGGCGCCAUUAGUUUCUCCUAGCAUAAUCCCCAAGUAUUUGUUAAUAUUUUUUUUUCCAAUAUUCAUGUUCUUAAAUUCUAGUGCUCCCUUUCCUUGAGCAAACAUUUUUUUAUUGCCAUCGUGCAUUGUUAGAUUAAUCUUAGUCAUAUAUUGGUAGAUUAAUCUUAAUCUAGUUAUACCAUCCAUGAAUUUCAGUUACUUGAAUCUGGGUGUGAUGUGUUUUCCUGAUGCAAAGUUUCUUAUAUAAUUUUAAUGCCCGAUAUGUUAAUGUUAUUCAAACAUGACCUAGGCAUUUUUGUUCCAACAAAUUUUGGGCAUUGGUAUGGUAACUACAAUGCCCCCCUGCAGCUUGUUUUUAAUUCAUUUCAUUAAGUUGAGAACUCGAUAUUAGGAUGGUGAAUUCAACAAUACAAGAAUCCAUUGAUGAAAAAUAUCCUACCUCGUGCACACUAGCCUUGUACCACUAUCCUUGUACCAAUCUAAUCAGCAACUACUGCUGAUCUCUUUGUUUCUUCUCUAGCUGGCUUAUAGCGUUGGAGAUAUGAGUCUGUUGUACAUUUGUGAUACUUUGUAUCUCAUGAAAGAAAUGGAUGCUGACCUGUGCUUUUCCUUUUACCCUUUUUUUAAAUUAUCUGUUUGGUUAUUCAGAAAAAAAUCCAAAACUGGUGCACAGUAAAAUCAACGAGUUUGAUCCAAUCAAGCAGCACAGGCCCUUCUGCCCCUGGAUCACUCCUGAUGAGGGAGUAACCAUGCCUGGAUGGAAACUGACGCUUUCAGCUUUAGUUCAUCAAGUGAAAGAUAUUCCUAGCCACUUAAAUUUGGAGAACCCUUCAGCUUUGCUCGACGAGGUAAUCUCUCUCUCUCUCUCAAUUUUUUUUAGAUUGAAUUCUGUUUGCUUCCCCGUCUGUCAUCCAAAGCUGGUCUCUUGAUUGGCACUCUUAUGUGAUGCAGGAAGAUGAUCCCAUCGUUUCUGUCCGAAAGCUUUUUAUGUCCCCAUCACCCAAAAGAUUGAAGAGCAGUCAGUAAACGCUUCAAAGAUUUUGGCACUUUCUUUUGAACCAUAUGCAUGAAACAUGACCUACUAGCUUGGAGAUUGUGAUCAGCUACAGUUGCGUACCUGAAAUAUAUGCAGAGCUUGUUGUUCUUCCUAUUUACGCUUGAACAGGGAUUUAAAAUGUUCUUGAUGAUUGGAAUGGAUGUUCCAUAUAGGGAAAUAAACAUAUGCAGCACCACACUCAAACUUGUUCUGUUUGGUGCUUUUAUGAGAUUGGAGAAAGUAAUGCUUGGAGAUACGGAUUUUUCUAUGUAGCGAACAAAAACCACAGCACUACAUUCUGAUAUGACAAGCUGCAUGGCUUCAGCAGGUCAUAGAUGGUGGUAACCUUCAGGAAUGUGUUUUAAAGCCUUUUUAACUUCUAUAUUCUGUUACAAGAAGAAGAAGAAUAAGAAGGCCUCGAGAGGCUGGGUACGGAAUGAGAAUCUUGAAGAA
This 27566-nucleotide long non-coding RNA is filed under the name Elaeis guineensis (African oil palm). Its description in RNAcentral is "long non-coding RNA (EGUI_LNC000893)". The record is from RNAcentral. Lineage: Eukaryota; Viridiplantae; Streptophyta; Magnoliopsida; Arecales; Arecaceae.